This 253-nucleotide ribosomal RNA is filed under the name uncultured bacterium. Its description in RNAcentral is "partial 16S ribosomal RNA". It matches the Rfam family "Bacterial small subunit ribosomal RNA", at positions 524 to 776 of the family's 1533-position model. The record is from RNAcentral.
CACGUAGGGUGCGAGCGUUGUCCGGAAUUAUUGGGCGUAAAGAGCUCGUAGGCGGCUUGUCGCGUCGACUGUGAAAUCCCGCGGCUCAACUGCGGGUCUGCAGUCGAUACGGGCAGGCUAGAGUUCGGUAGGGGAGACUGGAAUUCCUGGUGUAGCGGUGAAAUGCGCAGAUAUCAGGAGGAGCACCGGUGGCGAAGGCGGGUCUCUGGGCCGAUACUGACGCUGAGGAGCGAAAGCGUGGGGAGCGAACAGG